This 433-nucleotide ribosomal RNA is filed under the name uncultured bacterium. RNAcentral's name for it is "partial 16S ribosomal RNA". It matches the Rfam family "Bacterial small subunit ribosomal RNA", at positions 29 to 507 of the family's 1533-position model. The record is from RNAcentral.
AACGAACGCUGGCGGCAUGCCUAACACAUGCAAGUCGAACGAGACCUUCGGGUCUAUUGGCGCACGGGUGCGUAACGCGUGGGAACCUGCCCUUAGGUUCGGAAUAACUCCCCGAAAGGGGUGCUAAUACCGGAUAAUGUCUUCGGACCAAAGAUUUAUCGCCUUUGGAUGGGCCCGCGUUGGAUUAGCUAGUUGGUAGGGUAAAAGCCUACCAAGGCGACGAUCCAUAGCUGGUCUGAGAGGAUGAUCAGCCACACUGGGACUGAGACACGACCCAGACUCCUACGGGAGGGAGCAGUGGGGAAUAUUGGACAAUGGGCGAAAGCCUGAUCCAGCAAUGCCGCGUGAGUGAUGAAGGCCUUAGGGUUGUAAAGCUCUUUUACCCGGGAUGAUAAUGACAGUACCGGGAGAAUAAGCUCCGGCUAACUCCGUG